This 1239-nucleotide long non-coding RNA is filed under the name Macaca fascicularis (crab-eating macaque). RNAcentral describes it as "lncRNA (ENSMFAG00000064673.1)". Lineage: Eukaryota; Metazoa; Chordata; Mammalia; Primates; Cercopithecidae. The record is from RNAcentral.
CACAACGAUAUGAUAAAUGAUUGAGAAACAUAUCAGACUAUUCAAAACAACAUAAGAAGUUAGAUGACAGUAGAGCAAUGCCUUCAAAACUAAGGGGAAAAAAGAUCUGUAACCCAGAAUCCAGCAUGAAAUUAUCAAUAAAAAAUAAAGAUGAAAUAAACAUAUUUCCAGAUAUGUAAAGUCAAAACAUUACCUCUAUGACCUCUUUCUUAGGAAUCUACUAGAAGAGAUGGUGCACACAGUAAAUAAAUAAAGGAUGGGGUGUCAAAAAAUGGAAAAGAAAAAGUACAAGAAAUAAGGGAUCUAGUAUAGAAGAAAGCUACACAGCGUUCCUGGAAUGAUGGUUUAGUGAAGUGCCAGGAUGUGAGGAAUCUGCAGGAUAACAGGCAACAGACUGAGAGAAUAAUGCAUCCAGACUGGAGCAAAAGGACCAAGGGAUCUGGAAGGGAUAGCUUUUCAAGAAAAAAAAAAAAUAGAAUUGACAGUUUGCCUAAUGCAUUUGACAUCAUUUUUAAAAAUGCAAGAUUGAUUUUAUAGUGUUUCUGGAAAGUUCAGGCAGAACUAAUUGAUAGGCAUACAAAUAACUAUGAAAACCACCAAACAGGAAUUCUUACCAAAAAAAUAAGAAAGGUUAUAUAAGCAAGGAAAAAAUCAUCAUAUGCAACAUGGUUCAAUGGCUAUAAUAAUAUAAACACUGAAUAUUGACCCAUCUAAAAACUGUGGGGAAAAAAAACUACAUAGGAAAGAGAUGGAGGGGAAAUUAGAACAUAUAUAUUUUUGGUAAAGGAGAUACAUGACAGAGCUGUAGCCUUACAUUCUCCAGUAAUAAAUAAAUAGAUAAUAUCUAACACUAAAAAAGAAUCCAGAAAUGGCAGCAUAAGUUUGUUUACUGAAGAAUACCAUAGGAAAAAAAAAAAAGAGUUGAAAGCAAUUGCUACUAGGGAACAGGAUUCAGAAGUAGAAAAGGAAGAUGAGAGAAAUGUCAUUUCUUUUAGAAACUUACAGCAAUAUUUGACUUUAUGUAUAUGAAUUACUUUGAAGAAUAGAAAUAAUAUUACACAUGAAUAAACUCAAAGCAAAAACAAAACAGAACAAAAUUAAGAAAGAAACACAGGCCAGGCAUGCUGGCCCAUGCCAGUAAUUCUAGUCCUUUGGAAGGCCAAGGCAGGAGGCUCAUCUGAGACUAGGAAUCACCAGCCUGGGUGACACAGCAAGACUCUGUCUCUUAAAAAAAAAAAA